Molecule: ribosomal RNA, 500 nt
Filed under: uncultured bacterium
Lineage: Bacteria
Description: partial 16S ribosomal RNA
Rfam family: Bacterial small subunit ribosomal RNA
Source: RNAcentral
AUUGAACGCUGGCGGAAUGCUUUACACAUGCAAGUCGAACGGCAGCACGGACUUCGGUCUGGUGGCGAGUGGCGAACGGGUGAGUAAUACAUCGGAACGUGCCCAGUCGUGGGGGAUAACGUAGCGAAAGCUACGCUAAUACCGCAUACGAUCUAAGGAUGAAAGAGGGGGAUCGCAAGACCUCGCGCGAUUGGAGCGGCCGAUGGCAGAUUGGGUAGUUGGUAGGGUAAAGGCCGACCAAGCCGACGAUCUGUAGCUGGUCUGCGAGGAGGAUCAGCCCCACUGGGACUGGGACACGCCCCAGACUCCUACGGGAGGCGGCAGUGGGGAAUUUUGGACAAUGGGCGCAAGCCUGUUCCAGCCAUUCCGCGUGCAGGAUGAAGGCCUUCGGGUUGUAAACUGCUUUUGUACAGAACGAAAAGGCUCUGGUUAAUACCCGGGGCUCAUGACGGUACUGUAAGAAUAAGCACCGGCUAACUACGUGCCAGCCGCCGCGGUAA